This 230-nucleotide long non-coding RNA is filed under the name Elaeis guineensis (African oil palm). Its description in RNAcentral is "long non-coding RNA (EGUI_LNC067692)". Lineage: Eukaryota; Viridiplantae; Streptophyta; Magnoliopsida; Arecales; Arecaceae. The record is from RNAcentral.
GGGUGUUUUGAAUGAAAAUUUUAAACACCUAACCCUUCCACUGUGCCACCAAAACCCAACAGCUCCUAGACCAGCCCUUUUAAAUGGUCUCCUUUAAGCUGACUUGGUGAAGCCAGUGGGAGGAUCAUGAUAUGCUGGUUCAUCUAACCUCCUCUUCUAAAUCAAUUAAAUCCUCUAAAAUUAUUAGGUCCUUAAAAUAAAAUAGUUAUGGUGAUAACUAGAUCAUAGCC